UAAUAAUAAAGUGAAUAAGUGCUUGAACAUUAAUAGUUAUAUUCUUUAAAGUCAAAGAAUUUGGCGGUAUUUUAGUCUCGUUAGAGGAACCUGUUUUAUGAGCGAUAAAACACGUAAUAUCUUACUUAUUUUUGUUUAAAUAACAGCUUGUAUACCGUCAUUAUUAAAUAAUUUUGGAAAAAUUAAUUAUUGAAAUUAAGUUAAAUUAAAUAUAUUAGAUCAAGGUGCAGCUAAUAGAUAAGUAAAAAUGGGUUACAAUAAAUAUUUAUUUAUAACGGAUUGUAAUUAGAAUUAUUUACAGAAAGGCGGAUCUAAUUGUAAAAAUAAUUUAAUAAGUUAUUUUGAUAUGGGCUCUAAAUUAUGUACAUAUCGCCCGUCACUUUCAUUUAAAAUGAAAUA
This 399-nucleotide ribosomal RNA is filed under the name Acanthacaris tenuimana. Its description in RNAcentral is "partial 12S ribosomal RNA". Lineage: Eukaryota; Metazoa; Arthropoda; Malacostraca; Decapoda; Nephropidae. The record is from RNAcentral.